RNAcentral lists this ribosomal RNA (243 nucleotides) under uncultured Staphylococcus sp. RNAcentral's name for it is "partial 16S ribosomal RNA". It matches the Rfam family "Bacterial small subunit ribosomal RNA", at positions 102 to 334 of the family's 1533-position model. Lineage: Bacteria; Bacillati; Bacillota; Bacilli; Caryophanales; Staphylococcaceae. The record is from RNAcentral.
CGGCGACGGGUGAGUAACACGUGGAUAACCUACCUAUAAGACAGGGAUAACUUCGGGAAACCGGAGCUAAUACCGGAUAAUAUAUUGAACCGCAUGGUUCAAUAGUGAAAGACGGUUUUGCUGUCACUUAUAGAUGGAUCCGCGCCGCAUUAGCUAGUUGGUAAGGUAACGGCUUACCAAGGCAACGAUGCGUAGCCGACCUGAGAGGGUGAUCGGCCACACUGGAACUGAGACACGGUCCAG